GCGAUUGGGCGUUUGAUCAUGGCUCAGGACGAACGCUGGCGGCGUGCUUAACACAUGCAAGUGGAGCGACGAACCGGGCUUCGGCCCGGGGUAAAGCCGCGAACGGGUGAGUAACACGUGGGUAACCUGCCCCGAUGACCGGGACAACCCGAGGAAACUCGGGCUAAUACCGGAUGUGCUCCUUUCACAUCAGUGAAUUGAGUAAAGGUAGCUUCAGCCUCCGCAUCGGGAUGGGCCCGCGGCCCAUUAGCUUGUUGGUGAGGUAACGGCUCACCAAGGCCGCGAUGGGUAGCUGGUCUGAGAGGACGAUCAGCCACACUGGGACUGAGACACGGCCCAGACUCCUACGGGAGGCAGCAGUGGGGAAUCUUGCGCAAUGCGCGAAAGCGUGACGCAGCAACGCCGCGUGGGUGAAGAAGGCCUUCGGGUUGUAAAGCCCUUUCAGGAGGGACGAAGCUCCUCGGGUUAAUAGCCCAGAGGGUGACGGUACCUCCAGAAGAAGCCCCGGCUAACUACGUGCCAGCAGCCGCGGUAAUA
RNAcentral lists this ribosomal RNA (537 nucleotides) under uncultured bacterium. RNAcentral's name for it is "bacterial SSU rRNA". It matches the Rfam family "Bacterial small subunit ribosomal RNA", at positions 1 to 525 of the family's 1533-position model. The record is from RNAcentral.